GAUGAACGCUGGCGGCGUGCCUAAUACAUGCAAGUCGAACGAACGGGCGACAAGCUUGCUUUUCUGAUGUUAGCGGCGGACGGGUGAGUAACACGUGGAUAACCUACCUAUAAGACUUGGAUAACUUCGGGAAACCGUAGCUAAUACCGGAUAAUACUUUGAACCGCAUGGUUCAAAAGUGAAAGACGGUCUUGCUGUCGCUUAUAGAUGUAUCCGCGCUUCAUUAGCUAGUUGGUAAGGUAACGGCUUACCAAGGCAACGAUGCAUAGCCGACCUGAGCGGGUGUUCGGCCACACUGGGACUGAGAGACGGUCCAGACUCCGACGGGAGGCAGCAGUAGGGAAUGUUCGGAGAUGGGCGAAAGCCUGACGGAGCAACGCCGCGUGAGUGAUGCAGGUCUUCGGAUCGUAAAACUGUGUUAUUAGGGAAGAACAUAUGUGUAAGUAACUGUGCACAGCUUGACGGUACCUAAUAAGAAAGCACCGGCUAACUACGUG
Molecule: ribosomal RNA, 497 nt
Filed under: uncultured bacterium
Lineage: Bacteria
Description: partial 16S ribosomal RNA
Rfam family: Bacterial small subunit ribosomal RNA
Source: RNAcentral